UGAGACCUUGAGCAAAACAGAUAAGAACCGGGGCAAUGGAGGCAUAAACAUUAAGGCUAGGAGAUAUUUUGGGGGAGAAAGCGGGGGCUAGCAGGGAGAAAGCUCAACUUUAUGCACCGCGCCCAGGAACGCUUUGCCUUUAGCCACUAGCGGACCCGCCGGGCGGAGGGAGCUCUCCGGAAGUGAGCUCACGCAACCGUGAAGUCAGCUCACGCAACCGUGAAGUCAGAUUCCUCCGCCGAGGCGGCCCUCUCUCCGGGGGCUUUGCCUUCGCUCUCCAGCUUUUCUUCUUUCACUCCCGCGCGCCGACUCCAGCCCGCUGGGCUCACGCUCUGCCGGACACCAAUCCCGGCGCCCCUGCCCGACGGCGCUCAAGGAUAGGCCUGGCCUUGUCCGCGGAGUCCGCCCCUCGCCGCCACCGGGACCGGCCCCCGAGCCGACACGCACUUCCGGCAGCGCCGCGGCCGGCAGGGAGUGAGCGGGGAGCAAGGCCUGCGGUGAGGCGCGGGAUGGACGCGCUGGCUGUCAUGAUGUAGGAUCUCCUGACCCAGAACCAUGCCCGGCGCAGGGAGAACAACGAGCUUAUGGACCGGGUGCGGGGGCUGCUGUGCGAGAAAGCCUACCUGCUGGCCCGGGAGCGUUCGCCGGCCCACCUGGUGGCUUUCCCGAGACGUUUAACGGCGACUCCGCCCGGCCUCCCGACUUUUUGAUGCAGGGUUCUCUUACAUGACUUUCUUCCAGGCUAGAUUCUUGAAAGACAUCCUGAAGGUGGCUUUCUUAAUUAGCUGCCUCACUGGGUGGCGGAGCAGUGGGUAGUCCCCUACAUCGAGAGGGAGAGCCCCGUCCUGGCUCAGUACGUGGGCUUCGUGGACGCGCUGUAGCCGGGCCUUGGCCGUUGUGGGUAGGAAACAAUCGGGCCGGAUCCCCGGUGUCUGGGGAGCGGCUGCAGCCGGGGCCCGCGCGAGCCACUUCACUCCUACAAGCCCGGCUCACUAGUUCCAAGCUGCUGGACUUUGACCCUCGCUGGGAAGCCUGCUCGCCGCCUGUUCUCGCCAAUCUCUAUGCCUUUGCACUGCCCAGCAACCCGGCCACUGCCCAGGACCUGUUAAAAGUUGAAUGGACCUCCCAGAAUCACGCCCCUGCCACCGCCGUUUCUAGAGACGGCUUUUGGCCACCUUUGAGAAUCAGGGUCAAACUUGGAAGGGCCUGCAUUUGUCAUACCUCCUCGGACACUAAUUUGGAUAGUUCAGGCCCUGAGACAGCUUCCCGGAACCUUCUGGAUUUCAGCUUUGGCAAGCUUCCUCUGUUUCUGAGCCACCUCCAUCACCUGGGGUACAAUCCCAUCCAAGAUUUUCCCCAUCUCCAGGCAUUUUUCAUGGAAAGCUCCUCAUGCUUUUUAAUUCCAGGUUAUCAAUUUGUGUGGCUUUAA
RNAcentral lists this long non-coding RNA (1429 nucleotides) under Pongo abelii (Sumatran orangutan). RNAcentral describes it as "lncRNA (ENSPPYG00000030150.1)". The record is from RNAcentral. Lineage: Eukaryota; Metazoa; Chordata; Mammalia; Primates; Hominidae.